AGGGCUGCAGGCACUCCUGGGAGCAGGAGGAGGGUGACCUGUCCCGGGCAGACCAGGCUCUCUGGGCUGUGUGGCCCCAGCUCCCUGAGCCCAGAGGGAGGUGAGGGUGAGAAGGCCUGGACCAGGCAGGACGCAGCCCCCAGGGCCCCUGCUGGGAAGAGGUCAGAACCUCCCAAGAACCCAGAAGGCCAGAACACACUAGAGGGUCCCGGCAUCCUGAUGAGUCCACUGUCCCCGUGAUGGUUUUCAAGGAUGGAGAAGGCUCCCUGUUCUCCGCUGGAACCCUGCAGCCGGGCUGAUGAGACCCCAGCGAGACCUGCAGAACAUUACAGCAAAAUGAAGGAAAGCCAGAGGAAGAGGCAGAUGUGCUGGCCUGUAAACAGUCUGAUUUCCAAUGUAAACCAGAUUCAGGCCCACGACAUCAGGUAAACAUCUGCAUCAGAGCCCCCGGCCCCCCACCGCCCGGGAGGCCCCGGGGUCCACACGGCCGACUCUGGGACCCGUCACAGUGACCGCCGAGACAUUUCGUAAUUAGGCAAAAUUGAUCCUUGCAUUCCUUCCCUAAAUCCCAAAUCUCUGCAAUUUUACUUCUUCUCAAAAAUGAAAACAUUUGGCAAUUAGCUGAUCCAAGUGAAAAAGGUAGAGAAUGUGCUCUCAACUGGAAAAUGCCAAUUAAGGAAGCAGCUCUGACUUCCCACCCGCCCUGGCUAAGCUGGGAGCUUAUCUUCCCCGAGAAGAAUCUGCUGGGAUAAGGGGGCUUGGGAAACACCGAGGGCAGGGCUGCCUCCUCAGCUUCCUCUGAGAGCAGAUUAGCCGUGGCCUUGUGCCAGCAGGGCCUGGGUGCCGCACCGGGUGGCAGGGGGUGGCAGAGCUGGGCCCGGCUCCGGCAGUGGGAUUUGGGGUGGUGGGACCCAGUGGGGCACCUGCUUGUGGGCAGCACUGAGGGCGGUGACGUAGGCAGCGAGUGCCGGUGUCUGCCCCUCCAUCUGGCCGGGUUCCCCACCCUGCUCCUGCAGCCCUGGACCUCAGGGCCCAUUUGCAGUGCAAGGCGGCUCUUCG
This 1059-nucleotide non-coding RNA is filed under the name Pongo abelii (Sumatran orangutan). The record is from RNAcentral. Lineage: Eukaryota; Metazoa; Chordata; Mammalia; Primates; Hominidae.